CAAAUGUUAGCAGAUGGUGGUCAGACAAAGGAAAUGGAACAGUGGAGAUAUUAGAGGUGGUACAGAGAUUGGUGAAGAUGAGGUCAAGAGUUUUUCCUGCAGUAUGAGUUGCUGAAGAAGACAACUGCAUGAGGCCAAAGGAGGAGGUUACAGAGAGCAGACUGGAGGCAUCAGGGCAGUUGAGGUUGUUGAUUGGGAUGUUAAAGUCCCCAAGUAUGAGGGAGGGAGUGCUAGAGGAGAGAAAGUGGGGUAGCCAGGAAAAAAAAGUGUUCAAUGAAUAGCCUAGGAGUGGUGGUGGUGCUUGGAAUUUGAUAGAUGAUGGCAAUUCUUAAAGGAGUGGGCUUAAAAAGGCAGACAGUGUGAACUUCAAAGGAAGUAAAGGAAAUGGCAGGGGCAAGGAGGAUAGGUUGAA
Pelobates cultripes (western spadefoot toad) is the source of this 412-nucleotide non-coding RNA. Lineage: Eukaryota; Metazoa; Chordata; Amphibia; Anura; Pelobatidae. The record is from the annotation of a GenBank genome assembly.